UGGGGAAUAUUGCACAAUGGGCGGAAGCCUGAUGCAGCAACGCCGCGUGCGGGAUGACGGCCUUCGGGUUGUAAACCGCUUUCAGUAGGGACGAAGCGCAAGUGACGGUACCUACAGAAGAAGCACCGGCUAACUACGUGCCAGCAGCCGCGGUGAUACGUAGGGUGCGAGCGUUGUCAGGAAUUAUUGGGCGUAAAGAGCUUGUAGGCGGUUGGUUGCGUCGUAAGUGAAAACUCAGGGCUUAUCCCUGGGCUUGCUUGCGAUACGGGCUGACUUGAGGAAGGUAGGGGAGAAUGGAAUGCCCGGUGGAGCUGUGGAAUGCGCAGAUAUCGGGAGGAACACCAGUGGCUAAGGCGGUUCUCUGGACCUUUCCUGACGCUGAGAAGCGAAAGCGUGGGGAGCAAACA
RNAcentral lists this ribosomal RNA (407 nucleotides) under uncultured prokaryote. RNAcentral describes it as "bacterial SSU rRNA". It matches the Rfam family "Bacterial small subunit ribosomal RNA", at positions 355 to 774 of the family's 1533-position model. The record is from RNAcentral.